Molecule: transfer RNA, 74 nt
Filed under: Clostridioides difficile
Lineage: Bacteria; Bacillati; Bacillota; Clostridia; Peptostreptococcales; Peptostreptococcaceae
Description: tRNA-Cys
Rfam family: tRNA
About the family: Transfer RNA (tRNA) molecules are approximately 80 nucleotides in length. Their secondary structure includes four short double-helical elements and three loops (D, anti-codon, and T loops).
Source: RNAcentral
GGCGACAUAGCCAAGUGGUAAGGCAGUGGGCUGCAACUCCUUGAUCCCCAGUUCGAAUCUGGGUGUCGCCUCCA